This 846-nucleotide ribosomal RNA is filed under the name Kohlmeyeriella tubulata. RNAcentral's name for it is "eukaryotic LSU rRNA". It matches the Rfam family "Eukaryotic large subunit ribosomal RNA", at positions 58 to 946 of the family's 3401-position model. Lineage: Eukaryota; Fungi; Ascomycota; Sordariomycetes; Lulworthiales; Lulworthiaceae. The record is from RNAcentral.
AAAGAACCAACAGGAUUGCCUCAUUAACGGAGAGUGAAGCGGCAACAGCCCAAAUUUGAAACCUGGCUCUAGGGCCCGAGUUGUAAUUUGGAGAGGUCCCCACGGCGAAGCGCCUGCCGAGUCCCUGGAACGGGGCGCCGUAUAGGGUGAGAGCCCCGUGCGGCGGGACGCCCAGCCUAUGCGUGGGGCCUUCGAAGAGUCGAGUAGCUUGGGAAUGCUGCUCUAAACGGGAGGUAUAUUCCUUCUAAGGCUAAAUACCUGCCAAAGACCGAUAGCGCACAAGUAGAGUGAUCGAAAGAUGAAAAGCACUUUGGAAAGAGGGUUAAACAGUACGUGAAAUUGCUGAAAGGGAAGCGCCUGCGGGCAGACUCGUGCCCCGCGGAUCAUCCGACGGUCGUCCCGGGUGCACUCCGCGGGGCUCGGGCCAUCGACGGCUCUCCCGGGGGGACAAAAGCCGGGGGAACGUAGCUCCCCUCACGGGGAGUGUUAUAGCCCCCGGUCCAAUGCCUCCAGGGGGGCCGAGGACCGCGCCAAGGACGCUGGCGUAAUGGCUCGCCGGGACCCGUCUUGAAACACGGACCAAGGAGUCGAACGUCCGUGCGAGUUCUAGGGUGCAAAACCCCUGCGCGCAGUGAAAGCAAACGCUGGCGGGAACUUUGGGGCACCGCCGACCGGUCCCGAAGUCUUCUGACUGACCUGAUUUGGAACGCGGUGACCCGAAAGAUUGUGAACUAUGCCUGCGUAGGGCGAAACCAGGGGAAACCCUUGUGGAAGCUCUCAGCGGUUCUGACGUGCAAAUCGAUCGUCCAACGUGGGCAUGGGGGCGAAAGACUAUCUAACCAUCUA